Molecule: long non-coding RNA, 395 nt
Organism: Juglans microcarpa x Juglans regia
Lineage: Eukaryota; Viridiplantae; Streptophyta; Magnoliopsida; Fagales; Juglandaceae
Exons: 2
Source: RefSeq, a predicted model, not a curated record
AAAAGACUCAAUUUAACAUUUUACAGACCCAAAAUUGAGACCCACGUUUGCUGAGAUCAUGGCUGCUUUGAAGCUGUUGCAAAAGCCCACAACCAGUUCUCAAGUUCCCAGGCCAAGCACAUUCACAGGCAGUGGCCGUCAGAAGCCUCUGCCAUUACAAAUUGCAGAAGAAGCAUGCUAGAAGAGCAAACUAUACCAUCGUACUCUCUGUCAUUGGACUGCAAAAAUAUGGGGUGAAGUUCUAGAUUGCCUUGGACAAGUCUGAGAAAGUGAUUGCGAUUCUAUUUUCUCAAUUCCCUUUUUUCCCCAUCACAGUGCUGCUAUCCUCAAGGUUGUAUAUUUGUUUGUAGAAAUCCAUUGAAAUUGUUGUAAUCAAUAUUUGGAAAAUUUUUCUU